Peromyscus maniculatus bairdii (prairie deer mouse) is the source of this 1472-nucleotide non-coding RNA. The record is from RefSeq and is a predicted model, not a curated record. Lineage: Eukaryota; Metazoa; Chordata; Mammalia; Rodentia; Cricetidae.
CAAGUGCAGACCAUCUCAGACACCUGCACUCAGGCCUGUGGUCCCAACCAUCCUCUCUAUGCAGACCUGCUGGGUAAAGCCACAAGGACCCUGAAAAUGGGCUCCCACGGGGUACCAAGGGCAAGGCCACCUCCAUGAAUGAUACAAGUGCUGAGGAUUUUCUUCUUUUCUAAAUAAUUUCCUUUUAGCCUACAAAGAGUCCUGAACUCCCCAAAGACUAAGGCUUUGAAGUACUGCCAAUCUCUGACCCAAGCCAUUCAGCCAACCUGCCAGAACACACUGAUGAUAAGAGGAUGCUAAUUACCAGAGAUUUGUUUUCAUAUGGAACAUGAAACUCUCUCAUUAUCAGAGGCUUUGCAUCAGUUAAAUUAUACAGAUUCUCAAUGAUGGCAGAAUGUGCUCAUUUUGCUCUGGUUGUACUAAUACUGCAUGGCUGCCUAACCUCCUAAUUGGAGUAAAAUGGAGACCAAACAGGGCAGCAAAUACCCAAAGGAAGGUCAAGAGAAAUUUUGGAAUAUUUUAAUUACAUUUAAGGGAUCAAGCAAAAAGAGCCCGGGUAAAAACAGCGGCACAAACUCUGAGUAUUCUGAUAUCAGACCACCUUAAGACAGACAGAAGACAAAAGGGCAUGGAUACCCACUGGCAUUAGACUUCGAAUAAUUGAAAAUACAGCGAUCUUCUUUUCCAGUCACAGGGUUAUGUCCCUAAGAGAGGGAGUAAAUUCGGAAUCAAAAAAAGAACUACAGCCCAUUGAUGCAGAAGAGGAAAGUUCAAUGAUAUUGGUAGUUGAAGAAUGGCUAUUCAUCUCUUUCCCUAUCCUGUAUCCUAUGAUGUCCUUUUAACUUAGCAACAUAAGCAGCUAAACGUAAAGGAGGACCACCAUCCCUUAACAUGGAGAAAACCGGAGAUUGCGGGUAUCCAACUGUACUAUGCAGAACAGGCUUUCAGAUCGAAGAGAUGCGCAUGGAAAGGGAAGAGCUUUUGUGAACUGAAAUAUAAUAUAUAAAAUAUACCCUCCAAGAAGGUAAGAAAGGCCCUUGUUUUCCACAGGGCAGAUCUGGCUUGGUGCACCUGCUCUGUUCUUCACAUUGCCAGCACUUCUUUCAAUCAAUGUACUCGUCAUAUGAGGCAGCAUUUUCCUAUCUAAAGCUUUAUUCAAUGCACCAUUGACAGCAGAGACACUGUUCUGUUCAUUAGUGACUCGCAGGAAUCCUGGGGAAAUGUUGAAUAAAUAAAUGGAUUCAAUCAAAACAGAAAGUAGGGAAGUGUCUACCUUAAAAGAGUCUGCCAUUUUCCUGGUCUUCUAUGGCUGUGUGUAGUGGGUAGCCAUUCCAGCUUGGAUCUGGAAGUUCCAACCCCCAUUGAGACUCUGGCAACUGUCACGCCUACAAGGCGGGGCAAGGGGAGGAGCUGGAAACCCGAGAGCUGGAUGGGCGAGCGCGCGCUCUCUCUGUGCACUUUCUGCGCCUGGA